CCUACGGGUGGCAGCAGUGAGGAAUAUUGGUCAAUGGACGAGAGUCUGAACCAGCCAAGCAGCGUGAAGGAUGACUGCCCUAUGGGUUGUAAACUUCUUUUAUAAAAGAAUAAAACGAGGCACGUGUGCCUUCUUGCAUGUACUUUAUGAAUAAGGAUCGGCUAACUCCGUGCCAGCAGCCGCGGUAAUACGGAGGAUCCGAGCGUUAUCCGGAUUUAUUGGGUUUAAAGGGUGCGUAGAUGGUUUGUUAAGUCAGUUGUGAAAGUUCGGGGCUCAACCGUAGAAUUGCAAUUAAUACUGGCAGACUAGAGUACAGUUGAGUGAGGCGGAAUGCAUGGUGUAGCGGUGAAAUGCUUAGAGAUCACGAAGAACCCCGAUUGCGAAGGCAGCUUACUAAACUAUGACUGACAUUGAGGCUCGAAAGCGUGGGUAUAAAACAGGAUUAGAUACCCGGGUAGUC
This 460-nucleotide ribosomal RNA is filed under the name uncultured bacterium. RNAcentral's name for it is "partial 16S ribosomal RNA". It matches the Rfam family "Bacterial small subunit ribosomal RNA", at positions 338 to 795 of the family's 1533-position model. The record is from RNAcentral.